UCUAUACUGUGAAACUGCGAAUGGCUCAUUAAAUCAGUUAUCGUUUAUUUGAUAGUACCUUACUACUUGGAUAACCGUGGUAAUUCUAGAGCUAAUACAUGCUAAAAACCUCGACUUCGGAAGGGGUGUAUUUAUUAGAUAAAAAACCAAUGCCCUUCGGGGCUCCUUGGUGAUUCAUGAUAACUUAACGAAUCGCAUGGCCUUGUGCCGGCGAUGGUUCAUUCAAAUUUCUGCCCUAUCAACUUUCGAUGGUAGGAUAGUGGCCUACCAUGGUUUCAACGGGUAACGGGGAAUUAGGGUUCUAUUCCGGAGAGGGAGCCUGAGAAACGGCUACCACAUCCAAGGAAGGCAGCAGGCGCGCAAAUUACCCAAUCCCGACACGGGGAGGUAGUGACAAUAAAUACUGAUACGGAGCUCUUUUGGGUUUCGUAAUUGGAAUGAGUACAAUUUAAAUCCCUUAACGAGGAACAAUUGGAGGGCAAGUCUGGUGCCAGCAGCCGCGGUAAUUCCAGCUCCAAUAGCGUAUAUUAAAGUUGUUGCAGUUAAAAAGCUCGUAGUUGAACCUUGGGCCUGGCUGGCCGGUCCGCCUCACCGCGUGCACUGGUCCGGCCGGGCCUUUCCUUCUGGGGAGCCGCAUGCCCUUCACUGGGUGUGUCGGGGAACCAGGACUUUUACUUUGAAAAAAUUAGAGUGUUCAAAGCAUGCCUAUGCUCGAAUACAUUAGCAUGGAAUAAUAGAAUAGGACGUGUGGUUCUAUUUUGUUGGUUUCUAGGACCGCCGUAAUGAUUAAUAGGGAUAGUCGGGGGCAUCAGUAUUCAAUUGUCAGAGGUGAAAUUCUUGGAUUUAUUGAAGACUAACUACUGCGAAAGCAUUUGCCAAGGAUGUUUUCAUUAAUCAGUGAACGAAAGUUAGGGGAUCGAAGACGAUCAGAUACCGUCGUAGUCUUAACCAUAAACUAUGCCGACUAGGGAUCGGGCGAUGUUAUUAUUUUGACUCGCUCGGCACCUUACGAGAAAUCAAAGUU
Molecule: ribosomal RNA, 1024 nt
Filed under: Fulvoflamma eucalypti
Lineage: Eukaryota; Fungi; Ascomycota; Leotiomycetes; Helotiales
Description: SSU rRNA
Rfam family: Eukaryotic small subunit ribosomal RNA
Source: RNAcentral